This 599-nucleotide long non-coding RNA is filed under the name Coturnix japonica (Japanese quail). Its description in RNAcentral is "lncRNA (ENSCJPG00005006351.1)". Lineage: Eukaryota; Metazoa; Chordata; Aves; Galliformes; Phasianidae. The record is from RNAcentral.
AUAAACGGCAUUUCCUUGUCUUUAGUUUCACAUAGCUUUACGCACUCAGCCUCUACCCUGCAGUAAUUAUUUUUGGACAGAAACUGGAAACUCUUCCAUUAUUUGAAGUCCUUACUCUCUUUUAUUUUGGUCAGAUGAAAACCUGACUUUAAGGGCUCGCUAUUGAGUCAAGUGUGCACUGUGUUGUUGGUGCUCAAGAAAGGAUUGUUUUCAAUAGAGCUGGAGUAGCUUGCUAGGAACAAUCCAUGCUUAAAAUGCCUCGGCUGAAGUUGUUUCAAAUGCUGUUUUUCCACACAGAAACACACUGGCUACUUCAUUUAGAGGAAAUCUCUCCUGUGGGUGCAAACCUGAUGUAAAUGCUCCAUUACAUCCUGCUUCUUUUCCAACCCAUCUUCAGGAACAGGAGGAAGCCAGAAAGAUGCAUCGCCUACUUUGGCAUCUCAGAGAAGAGCAUGAAGGGCCUGAAUGAAUCCAAAUCCCAGCACCCACAUAGAGCCCUUCAGCACACAAGUGGCUUCACAAGCAAACCAAACCUGAGGAGAAUUUCUGGCACCCCCUUUAGAUACUCUUCAAUAGAGAUGCAUUCAUUUGUUUGGUGA